CAGUCGCCGCGGUAAUACGUAGGGCGCGAGCGUUGUCCGGAAUUAUUGGGCGUAAAGAGCUCGUAGGCGGCUGGUCGCGUCUGUCGUGAAAUCCUCUGGCUUAACUGGGGGCUUGCGGUGGGUACGGGCCGGCUUGAGUGCGGUAGGGGAGACUGGAACUCCUGGUGUAGCGGUGGAAUGCGCAGAUAUCAGGAAGAACACCGGUGGCGAAGGCGGGUCUCUGGGCCGUUACUGACGCUGAGGAGCGAAAGCGUGGGGAGCGAACAGGAUUAGAUACCCCAGUAGUCCCUGUCUCUUAUAC
This 301-nucleotide ribosomal RNA is filed under the name uncultured bacterium. Its description in RNAcentral is "partial 16S ribosomal RNA". It matches the Rfam family "Bacterial small subunit ribosomal RNA", at positions 509 to 807 of the family's 1533-position model. The record is from RNAcentral.